RNAcentral lists this unclassified non-coding RNA (4635 nucleotides) under Haliotis rufescens (red abalone). RNAcentral describes it as "uncharacterized LOC124143170, transcript variant X1". Lineage: Eukaryota; Metazoa; Mollusca; Gastropoda; Lepetellida; Haliotidae. The record is from RNAcentral.
AUCAGGGAAUUCUGGGAGAGAGCCAUGUGUGACAAAAGGGAGAGAUGAAAUCCAAUGUACGUCAAGUCUUCUGAAGAGUUCACGGGAUCAUUUUCCAGAUCGGACCCUUUCGAGGUCCAUGGGAUGAAGCUGACUUGGCAGUGAUAUGUGGUACAGGAUGGGGGCAAUUGUGUACCUGGCACUGACACUUUGUACCAUAUCCCUCGCAACAGGGAGGUGCAGGAAAGGGUCGGAGUUCUUCAACGAAGAUACCCAAGCCUGUGAACAAUGUUCAAAAUGUCCACAGAACAAGAUCAUUAAGGAGCCAUGCACAGAGACUCAAGAUGUACAGUGCAAGUCAUUCACAGAAUUCCGAAACUUCAACCAGAUAGAUACGGUCCAGUAUACCAAUGACAAAGAAGAGGAAGGUGCUUCUGACCCAGGUCAUGACAUUACCAUCAAGGAAAUACCUGCGAUAACGAAGGACGAGGGAGAAUACUGGAGAAACCUGGCUUUUGCCCUCAUUGGAGUGUUGUGUGCGUUGAUUGUCGUGGCAACCAUUAUAGUACUGUGUGCAUGUCGAAAGUUACACGAAACAGCGGCUUUAAAACGGCCGGAAGAGGAUGACUACGAUGACACAGACAGUGGGUAUGUGGUGAUACGGCAGAUCAGACAGCUGCCGUUGCCAAGCAACUCACGAUCUACAUCCGAACAGGCUGCAUCGUCGUUCCAGUCCUCUCGACAUCAGAAAAUGCCCUGGCUGUAUCGGCCAAAGAGACGAUUACUCAAUGAAUAUGUUGAUGAUGUGUUUGAAUCGGAAGACAGUGCAGGUUCACGGGCAAGCCGGAAACUGCCGUUAACUGUUAUUCCAGAACGUGAGAGCGAGGGAAACAGCUCGGGCAGCUACAGCGUCUAGCUCAAGACUGCGUUGUGGCGUCCGCAUCUACGAAACAAAUGUGGUGGUUCCCAUUACAUCAUCAAAAUUCAAUAUUUAUGUUACGGCGACAAAUUAAUUAUUUGUUUGUCCUUUGUUUUGAUCAAAUGUAGGAACUUGGUUAUUUGUUGUUGUCAUUGUUGUUUCCAUAAAUUGGAAUUAUUUUCAAAAUUGCUUCUCUCAAUUGGUGAAUGCAUUUUGUAGUUGUCCCAGCCGAUACUGAACAUGGAAGAUUUAUUAAUAGACACUUCGGGUUACAGAGUCAAGCUUGGUUUUACUGUCUGGGGGAAAAACAGCUUUUGUAAUACCAAUCCUCCACAGAGCCCUCAAUAUGGAGGUAUUAAGUCAUGCAUAGGGACAAUCAAUUCUGCUUCAUUUAAACCCAAUUACAAUACAAGGACAGUGUGUGUAAUGUUAGGGGCAUGUGGAGGGUUGCUUCCCUUCCGUAUGCCAGGAUCUGUUGUGACUAGAUCCAUGGUCUGUAAGCAGCAAACUUUUAAACAUCUGGUCUGUGACAUUUUGGCUUUCCUCCUCAACUAUUGCUGAAAUACUGUUGGAAUCAGGUUCGAACCUAGUCCAUCUUCUGAUCAAGUGGAUGUUUGAUCUUGCACUUGUGUAUCAGUUGGAUUGUCCAUUAUUUUUAGAAAGUUGAAAAAGCUGGAAAAAAUGUUGAUUAGCCAAAAUUGUUUGGUUGUGUAAUUGGAACCAAAGCAUUUAUCUGGACUGGUAUGUUACUGAUAUUACGUCAUGCAUGGUUUCUAUAGCAUGUGGUAUAUUUGAAACUUAAAAUUGUGUAUUUGUGGAAAAUGUAUAUCAACAUAUACCAAGAAAGUUGAGUUUUUGUAUUGUUUAUCCGAAGGAUAACAAUAUGAACUUAUAUUUUGUUGUCACUAGUACUGUGGGAGGACCCAUUCUGAUGCUGGGUUAUUUCAAAACCAAAGUUGUAAUUAUGAUACGGUUUUCAGGGUGUUUGUACCCAAGCUUCCACAUAUCCUACUGACUACAGCAUUAAACUGUCUUCCAUUAUCAUGAUAAAAGAGCAUGUGUCUAUUUUCAGUAAGUAAUAGUGUUGGAAAAAAAUGUGAAAUUGAGAUUCUAUAGUGCAUGCAUUUCUGCUGAAGAUAGAUGCUGUGGUAUGUGUUAAUAUCUUAACAUCACGUGAAACAUUACGUGAAAUUUAAUAAAUUAGAAUGUUUGCUCGGCUGCAGUUCCAGCUACAUAAAGGGGUAUAUGGCUACAAAAUUAUAAUAGUCUUGAUUCUCAGGCACUGCCCGCAUCAUCAUAAAGUUCGCCGCACAUUUCGUUUGUAUUUCCAUUUUAAAAAACCCCAACCAAAACAAUCCUUAAAUAUUGUCUAACUUUAGUCAUAUAUUCCAGUAUUUUACUCAUUAAGGAAUACUCGAGGGAGGCCCUUUCCCAAAGUUGAUGGUACACAACUGUUUAAUUGGUUACAUACUAGUUUGAACCCCCACCACCACCCAAAAAAAAAAGAUACCGCCCGCCCGCACUAUAUUUUCAAAAAACAAUUGCCUGAGAACCAAUUCUUUUAUUUUUUUAAGCCUAUCAGACAUGCUUUUGUGUUCACUGAAUAGUCCUGCUAAAUGUGCGUGUGCUGCCAAAUUAUGAAAGUACUAUUGUAUGGACAACUAUUCAUAACUUAUUGUAAUUAUUAUUACUUGCAUUUAAAUCUUGAAUCUCAAAUCUCAAAGUGCAUUUUGAGAAUGUCUGUUGUUGUUUUAGCUCUUGCCGUAGAAAGAAAUCAGUGUUCCAUGUGUCAUGUUAAACUUUGUCGUGAUUAUUUCGUACUUUGAAGGUGUUGGGUAACCGGCAUCUAAUACAACAUGAAUGAGGUCAUGGGUUACCCGUUGUUACUGGUUACGGUGUGGAACCAACAUGUUAUUUGUUCAGAGUUGUGUUGUACUUGUCAUCAAUUUAACAUUACAAGAUAAUCACUGCCAGGAGUUGAGAACUAGAGGGGUACCAUCUUCAGCUUUGUGUCUCGCGUCUCACACUCGACUAAAAAGUAAAAUAAAAAAAAACAAAGGUUUUUCUCAUAGACUUAAAAUGAAAUCUAUCUGAAUAAAAACUGUCAAAUCUUUCAUUAAGUCUUCCAAGGAAUUUUUUAUUUUUUUGUGGCAAAUUCAGUGACAAGUGUUAAAAAACAGCUCUUGUUAUCUUAAGAAAAAUGGUUACUGUCAUGACGAUCCGUUUAAUGUAUGGUGAUGUGAAACAUGAGAAAUUGACUAUGUUGCCCCUUUGGUGCUCACUAAUAAUCAAAGAGCAUUUAAUCAACAUUGGAGCCAGAUCCAGUCAACAUGACAGUGUCAGAUAAAACCCUUAACGUUUCUCUUGGGCUGUAUUUAAGAAAAAUGUUUCUCCGGCAAAUUUUUCUCAAAAGUGAGGAUGGAGGUAUGACUUUAUUUUUUUAAGUUAAUAUUUUAACAAAAGAGAUACAGAACACUUUUUUGUUUUACCACCAAGAAUACAGCAAUACAAACUGGCCACAGAUUUAACACGGCUCUUUAAUACAAUGUAUGGUUAACAGAGUAUGUUUCACAUGACAGGACAUUUUAUUUAUUUUUGCCAAUAUAAAUGACGUAAAGUGACAUGAGGAUGCCUGAGACACAUUUUUUUUAACCAGCGUUAAUACAUUGCUCAUUCCUCUGUUUGUAUUGUCUUUUUUGAUUAAUCUCAUAAAUCUGUCAAUCAUCAAGUGUGAAUUUGUCUUCAGCUAGAGUUUGAUGUUUUCUGUGGUUGACAGGUGGGAGGAAAGAUUUCAUAUAUAACAGCUCUUGUUUGUUUGAUAAGGGUGUCUAUGGGUUAAUUUGAACCUGCCUAUGCUAUUCAAUGCAAUGUUUUCAAAUAUUUUUGAUGUACAACUUGGCAAAGAGAGCUAGGCUUGGAGAAAAUGGCUGGUUGGAUAAGGGCCAUGUUGAUUUUAAAACGAUCUUGGCGUUACAUAUUUCGUAAAUCUGUUAGUGUCGAGCAAUCCCAAAUCUUUUCUCUUUUAGUCUCUUUAUAUGGUCUCUAGGUGAACCAACAAACAAUUGCACAAACAUAACGAACAAUCAGAAUGAAGGAUCAUGAGUAUUUUGGGGGAUAUUUUUUGUGUGUACUCAGUCUUCACUAUGAAAAAAUAGCCCCCCAAAAUUCAUUAUCCCAAUUUAAAAAAUAAAUAAAUCAGAAAACAAUGACUUCUUUUGAUAGAUGGCCUUCAUUACAACAACUAGAUUUGUAAGAAGUGCCACGGUGGGGGCCUUCCUUAACAAAUGUCACCGUUGUAAUAUUGGCUCCUUUAGACUUACACUACUCAACUUCUGAUUGGGAGUCUGAGCUAUUUCAUACUGUGACCAACCAAGCACACUAAGUUGUAAAACCUAGAAUAUCCCUAUCGAGGGGUGAGUUGUAUGUGGGGGGAUGCUCUGUGACACGUCCUCUCCCCUGUCCUUGCUGUCCGUUGUUUUGUUGUAACACCUAGAAUAUCCCUAUUGAGAGGUGAGUUGUAUGUGGGGGGAUGCUCUGUGACACGUCCUCUCCCCUGUCCUUGCUGUCCGUUGUUUUGUUGCUUGUCCGGAGACUGUUGUUGGUGGCUCUGCCAGGAAGUGGGCCAGCGAGGAACAUUGUGUACAUAAUGCGCAUGGUGAAAUGGCUGCUUCUUCAUACUAUUUAACGUGAGCCAAACCACCGUCGUAGCAGAUAAUAAAUAGAAAUCAGUUAUCAAA